RNAcentral lists this small RNA (988 nucleotides) under Pongo abelii (Sumatran orangutan). RNAcentral describes it as "retained intron". Lineage: Eukaryota; Metazoa; Chordata; Mammalia; Primates; Hominidae. The record is from RNAcentral.
GGAACCGUCAUGGGGCCUUGGAGUCGAGUCAGGGUUGCCAAAUGCCAGAUGCUGGUCACCUGCUUCUUUAUCUUGCUGCUGGGCCUCUCUGAGGCCACCAUAGUGACUCUUACCUACUUCGGGGCCCACUUUGCUGUCAUCCGCCAAGCGUCCCUGGAGAAGAACCCAUCCCAGGCUAUGCACCAAUGGGCCUUCUCUGCGGGGUUGAGCCUGGUGGGCCUCCUGACUCUGGGAGCUGUGCUGAGCGCUGCAGCCACCGUGAGGGAGGCCCAGGGCCUCAUGGCGGGGGGCUUCCUGUGCUUCUCCCUGGCGUUCUGCGCACAGGUGCAGGUGGUGUUCUGGAGACUCCACAGCCCCACCCAGGUGGAGGAUGCCAUGCUGGACACCUACGACCUGGUAUAUGAGCAGGCGAUGAAAGGCACAUCCCACGUCUGGCGGCAGGAGCUGGCGGCCAUCCAGGACGUGUUUCUGUGCUGUGGGAAGAGGUCUCCUUUCAGCCGUCUGGGGAACACAGAGGCUGACCUGUGUCAGGGAGAGGAGACGGCAAGAGAGGACUGCCUUCAGGGCAUCCGGAGCUUCCUGAGGACAUACCAGCAGGUCACCUCCAGCCUGACCAGCAUCGGCCUGGCCCUCACGGUACCCUCUCGCCUCCCUCACCGCCCCUUCCCACCUCCUACCCCUCAGCGUGCCCAGCCCCUGACUCAGAUGGAAGGGUGACCUGGGACAGGAUUUCUGGUCUUGGGCCUCACUGGCUGCCAACCUCAGGGAGCUGGUCUGGUGUGACAGUGCCUGCCUCCUACAGCUGGGCCGCCCCCUUACACUGCAGAGUCCUGAUGCUUCCUGGGGAUGGGCGCCCCCACCCAGGAGUAGGGGGGCAGCCGCGGGUGUCUCCCUCCCAGGUGUCCGCCUUGCUCCUCAGCUCCUUCCUGUGGUUUGCCAUCCGCUCUGGCUGCUGCUUGGACCGCAAGGGCAAAUACACCCUGGCCCC